UGAAGUUUAGUUUAGUUAGAACAUUUAUUUUUGGUAUGAAAGGGGGUUUUGCUUCAUU
Molecule: transfer RNA, 58 nt
Filed under: Aelurostrongylus abstrusus (cat lungworm)
Lineage: Eukaryota; Metazoa; Nematoda; Chromadorea; Rhabditida; Metastrongylidae
Description: tRNA-Gln
Source: RNAcentral